RNAcentral lists this signal recognition particle RNA (298 nucleotides) under Aotus nancymaae (Ma's night monkey). Its description in RNAcentral is "Metazoan signal recognition particle RNA (ENSANAG00000012149.1)". It matches the Rfam family "Metazoan signal recognition particle RNA". From Rfam's summary of the family: The signal recognition particle (SRP) is a universally conserved ribonucleoprotein. It is involved in the co-translational targeting of proteins to membranes. The record is from RNAcentral. Lineage: Eukaryota; Metazoa; Chordata; Mammalia; Primates; Aotidae.
GCUGGGUGCCGUGGCGCGUGCCUAUAGUCCUAGCUACUUGGGAGGCUGAGGUGGGAGGAUCGCUUGAACCCAGGAGUUCUGGGCUGUAGUGCGCUAUGCCCAUCGGUGUCCACACUAAGUUCAGCAUCAAUAUGGUGACCUCCUGGGAGCGGGGGAACACCAGGUUGCCUAAGGACGGGUGAACUGACCCAGGUCGGAAACGGAGCAGGUCAAAACUCCCGUGCUGAUCAGUAGUGGGAUUGCGCCUGUGAAUAGCCACUGCACUCCAGCCUGGGCAACAUAGCGAGACCCUGUCUCU